This 253-nucleotide ribosomal RNA is filed under the name uncultured bacterium. Its description in RNAcentral is "partial 16S ribosomal RNA". It matches the Rfam family "Bacterial small subunit ribosomal RNA", at positions 524 to 776 of the family's 1533-position model. The record is from RNAcentral.
UACGAAGGGGGCUAGCGUUGUUCGGAAUCACUGGGCGGAAAGGGCGCGUAGGCGGCCGAUCAAGUCGGGGGUGAAAGCCUGUGGCUCAACCACAGAAUUGCCUUCGAUACUGUUUGGCUUGAGACCGGAAGAGGUUAGUGGAACUGCGAGUGUAGAGGUGAAAUUCGUAGAUAUUCGCAAGAACACCAGUGGCGAAGGCGGCUGACUGGUCCGGUUCUGGCGCUGAGGCGCGAAAGCGUGGGGAGCAAACAGG